RNAcentral lists this ribosomal RNA (216 nucleotides) under Campeiostachys nutans. Its description in RNAcentral is "Elymus nutans partial small subunit ribosomal RNA". It matches the Rfam family "Eukaryotic small subunit ribosomal RNA", at positions 644 to 864 of the family's 1831-position model. The record is from RNAcentral. Lineage: Eukaryota; Viridiplantae; Streptophyta; Magnoliopsida; Poales; Poaceae.
GGGUUAGUAGGUUGGUCAUGCCUCUGGUAUAUACUGGUCUCACUGAUUCCUCCUUCCUGAUGAACCUUAAUGCCACUAAUUUGGUGUUUUGGGGAACUUGGACUGUUACUUUGAAAAAAUUAGGGUGUUUAAAGCAAGCUAACGCUUGAAUACAUUAGCAUGGAAUAAUGAAAUAGGACGUUCGAUCCUAUUUUGUUGGUUUCUAGGAUUGACGUA